RNAcentral lists this ribosomal RNA (624 nucleotides) under uncultured Bacillus sp. RNAcentral describes it as "bacterial SSU rRNA". It matches the Rfam family "Bacterial small subunit ribosomal RNA", at positions 94 to 703 of the family's 1533-position model. The record is from RNAcentral. Lineage: Bacteria; Bacillati; Bacillota; Bacilli; Caryophanales; Bacillaceae.
AGCGGCGGACGGGUGAGUAACACGUGGGUAACCUGCCCAUAAGACUGGGAUAACUCCGGGAAACCGGGGCUAAUACCGGAUAACAUUUUGAACCGCAUGGUUCGAAAUUGAAAGGCGGCUUCGGCUGUCACUUAUGGAUGGACCCGCGUCGCAUUAGCUAGUUGGUGAGGUAACGGCUCACCAAGGCAACGAUGCGUAGCCGACCUGAGAGGGUGAUCGGCCACACUGGGACUGAGACACGGCCCAGACUCCUACGGGAGGCAGCAGUAGGGAAUCUUCCGCAAUGGACGAAAGUCUGACGGAGCAACGCCGCGUGAGUGAUGAAGGCUUUCGGGUCGUAAAACUCUGUUGUUAGGGAAGAACAAGUGCUAGUUGAAUAAGCUGGCACCUUGACGGUACCUAACCAGAAAGCCACGGCUAACUACGUGCCAGCAGCCGCGGUAAUACGUAGGUGGCAAGCGUUAUCCGGAAUUAUUGGGCGUAAAGCGCGCGCAGGUGGUUUCUUAAGUCUGAUGUGAAAGCCCACGGCUCAACCGUGGAGGGUCAUUGGAAACUGGGAGACUUGAGUGCAGAAGAGGAAAGUGGAAUUCCAUGUGUAGCGGUGAAAUGCGUAGAGAUAUGGAG